This 173-nucleotide ribosomal RNA is filed under the name Pseudomonas sp. SMT-1. Lineage: Bacteria; Pseudomonadati; Pseudomonadota; Gammaproteobacteria; Pseudomonadales; Pseudomonadaceae. The record is from RNAcentral.
CUUGACGACCAUAGAGCAUUGGAACCACCUGAUCCCAUCCCGAACUCAGUAGUGAAACGAUGCAUCGCCGAAGCAUUGGAACCACCUGAUCCCAUCCCGAACUCAGUAGUGAAACGAUGCAUCGCCGAUGGUAGUGUGGGGUUUCCCCAUGUGAGAGUAGGUCAUCGUCAAGA